This is a long non-coding RNA of Pistacia vera, 2224 nucleotides long. RefSeq lists it as uncharacterized. The record is from RefSeq and is a predicted model, not a curated record. NCBI's taxonomy places the organism in Eukaryota, Viridiplantae, Streptophyta, Magnoliopsida, Sapindales, Anacardiaceae. The transcript has 10 exons.
AUCUACAAUCUGUUGGUAUAUGCUAUUUUAUGUGGUAUCAUAUAUGACUACUUUUUUGAUUGAGUAAUCACUUCUUGUCUACUCAUCUGUUGGUUUGAAAUAACACAAAAGCAGGAUUGCCUGUUGGUUACAAGAGAUGCCAGUUCCAUAGAGUGAUCAAGGAUUUUAUGAUUCAAGCGGGUGAUUUUGUCAAGCCAAAAAACAAUUAGAGAGACUUCUAAAUAGAGGGUUGUGAUAGUCUGACAGGUCUACCUUAAGGGAUGCAAUUAAAAUACUUGACUAUAAACGACUGUGACCAAUUGGUAGAAAGAUACAAAAACAACAUGAGAAUUGUCUGGCCAAAGAUUGCUCAUAUUCCAAAUAUUCUCAUUGAUUACGAGCGGAUUCACAAAGAGGGCCAGUAUCUAUUGAAUUAGAGCAUAACUACUUCCUCAUAUCUUUGCCCAGACAGAGUAAAUGAAUUAUUCUGUGGAUCUUCUUUCGCAUAGCAAUUCACAGCAUACCCACAAUUGUACAGGAAUAAUUUAGGAUAACUUAAUCGGGUGGAAGCAAGAAAUGUGUCAAAGGGGCUUAAAGCAUUCAUUUGAACUCACUUCGUGGAGGCCUCUCCUAUUGCUUGAAUGAUUUUGCAUUUUGGUCAAAAAUAAAAUUGUAACAGUUGAUCAGAAAAGACUUUGUGAUUUACUAAAUCCAGAAUGAAUAUCAUUCAAUUUUCUUGAUUCUACUCUCGAUGAUGGAUGAAGCAUGGCAUACAUUGCUAAAACAAAGGUUAAACUUUGUCGAAUUAUUGUUUAGAAGGAGUUUCUUGAUUUCUGUUCUAUUUCUAAACUUGUGUGGGUCUCUGCUAAUUUUUACGUUCACUCAGUUUCAGUCAAACAUAUGAGCUUUUAACUUCUUCUGAUUGGGACAGCUAUCAGUAAGGAUUACUCUACUAAUGCUUGAAGAAGCUUAUAGCAUAAGUUUGGUGAUGGACCUGCUGGACAGUUAAGCAUCAUGAUUCUGACUGCUUCACCAUAAAGUGUGCAUGUAGUAGCCAACUAAUGGGUAAUAUAUAUCAUUCUCUGUUUUCAUUUCUUUUUCUGCCGCAUUCUUGUGGUUACAAAUAUGCAUAACAAACUUAAUGUAUAUAUUAAUCUGAAAACAUUUAGUUUACUAAAGGCAUGUUUGUUUGUUUCUUACUUUUCGGAAAUUUAUUCGCGACAUGUUUGGUACUAAUGGAUUGAAGCAAGAUAUUUUUCCGUCUCAAAUGUUGAGCUAAAUCCAAUUGUAAUUUCUUUAUUUACUUUUCUUGUAUCCUUCAACAUUAACUUGCUUCUAUGAUUUGAUGAAGACUACAUAUUAUGAUUGUAUUGCAGAAAUAACAUUUAUUUUGUGGCCUAACGAGAAUAAGGUGGCUGGAUUAUUCAUCGACCCAGAGAACUUCAAGAAACAAGGUUUGUGAGGCAAUUAAUAGAAUGCCAGAAAAGCAAUGUGGCCGGUUAAUGGGCGUAUCUGGCACCUUUGAGCUAACUGUUGGGAAGACCUUACUGUUUGCUUAGUCAAGAGUUAUGCAAGUACUAAGAACACUUGCUGAUUCUGCAAUCGAGGCUUGAGGAGUACGGUCUUGCUAGAAGUAACGGUACAAGCUUAGGUGCUUUAAAUUUUAGGACUGCUACACUUAUACAAGAAUUGGAAAACAUUGGCUAAAAUUUAUUCGGGACAUGCAUUAUGUGUAUCAAUGCUUCCAAGCGAGACAUUCUUCCAUAUGAAAUGUUGAGCUUAUGCAGUUGUGGAGAUCAUUCUGCAAGCUGGAGAAUCAAAUUUUUAAUUUAAAAUCACGUUGAGAAGAGUCCUCAAAGGUCAACUUGGUUGCUGUAUUUGUACGUGGCAUGCGUGUGGAAGAAGCAUUGUCGCAGUUACAAGAACUCAUAAAGCCAGCUGCAAAAACUGUAUCGUAUCAGUCAUUCUGCCCGAGCAAAUGCCUCUCAUAAUCUUUGUUGGAGAGGCGUUUUUGAAAAGAAGACUUGUCUACCACGCAGAGGGAGAACGUGAAGUUAAAAGAGCAGAUUGUUGUUUGACAGUGGUGGUGAGGGAAAUGACUCCGUCAGAGGAGGUGGAAAUUGCCCAGCUGAGGGUCCACAAUUUUCACAACUCAUCCAGUAGGGAUAAGAGGCUGUGUAAGCCAUAAGCGAUUGAGACAACUUCAAAUUGGAACCGCAAAGGCAAAAGCAGCAGCCGUGAAAUC